RNAcentral lists this ribosomal RNA (1517 nucleotides) under Bifidobacterium pseudocatenulatum DSM 20438 = JCM 1200 = LMG 10505. RNAcentral describes it as "bacterial SSU rRNA". It matches the Rfam family "Bacterial small subunit ribosomal RNA". The record is from RNAcentral. Lineage: Bacteria; Bacillati; Actinomycetota; Actinomycetes; Bifidobacteriales; Bifidobacteriaceae.
AGGGUUCGAUUCUGGCUCAGGAUGAACGCUGGCGGCGUGCUUAACACAUGCAAGUCGAACGGGAUCCAUCAGGCUUUGCUUGGUGGUGAGAGUGGCGAACGGGUGAGUAAUGCGUGACCGACCUGCCCCAUACACCGGAAUAGCUCCUGGAAACGGGUGGUAAUGCCGGAUGCUCCGACUCCUCGCAUGGGGGUGUCGGGAAAGAUUUCAUCGGUAUGGGAUGGGGUCGCGUCCUAUCAGGUAGUCGGCGGGGUAACGGCCCACCGAGCCUACGACGGGUAGCCGGCCUGAGAGGGCGACCGGCCACAUUGGGACUGAGAUACGGCCCAGACUCCUACGGGAGGCAGCAGUGGGGAAUAUUGCACAAUGGGCGCAAGCCUGAUGCAGCGACGCCGCGUGCGGGAUGACGGCCUUCGGGUUGUAAACCGCUUUUGAUCGGGAGCAAGCCUUCGGGUGAGUGUACCUUUCGAAUAAGCACCGGCUAACUACGUGCCAGCAGCCGCGGUAAUACGUAGGGUGCAAGCGUUAUCCGGAAUUAUUGGGCGUAAAGGGCUCGUAGGCGGUUCGUCGCGUCCGGUGUGAAAGUCCAUCGCUUAACGGUGGAUCUGCGCCGGGUACGGGCGGGCUGGAGUGCGGUAGGGGAGACUGGAAUUCCCGGUGUAACGGUGGAAUGUGUAGAUAUCGGGAAGAACACCAAUGGCGAAGGCAGGUCUCUGGGCCGUUACUGACGCUGAGGAGCGAAAGCGUGGGGAGCGAACAGGAUUAGAUACCCUGGUAGUCCACGCCGUAAACGGUGGAUGCUGGAUGUGGGGCCCGUUCCACGGGUUCCGUGUCGGAGCUAACGCGUUAAGCAUCCCGCCUGGGGAGUACGGCCGCAAGGCUAAAACUCAAAGAAAUUGACGGGGGCCCGCACAAGCGGCGGAGCAUGCGGAUUAAUUCGAUGCAACGCGAAGAACCUUACCUGGGCUUGACAUGUUCCCGACAGCCGUAGAGAUAUGGCCUCCCUUCGGGGCGGGUUCACAGGUGGUGCAUGGUCGUCGUCAGCUCGUGUCGUGAGAUGUUGGGUUAAGUCCCGCAACGAGCGCAACCCUCGCCCUGUGUUGCCAGCACGUCAUGGUGGGAACUCACGGGGGACCGCCGGGGUCAACUCGGAGGAAGGUGGGGAUGACGUCAGAUCAUCAUGCCCCUUACGUCCAGGGCUUCACGCAUGCUACAAUGGCCGGUACAACGGGAUGCGACACGGCGACGUGGAGCGGAUCCCUGAAAACCGGUCUCAGUUCGGAUUGGAGUCUGCAACCCGACUCCAUGAAGGCGGAGUCGCUAGUAAUCGCGGAUCAGCAACGCCGCGGUGAAUGCGUUCCCGGGCCUUGUACACACCGCCCGUCAAGUCAUGAAAGUGGGUAGCACCCGAAGCCGGUGGCCUAACCCUUUGUGGAUGGAGCCGUCUAAGGUGAGACUCGUGAUUGGGACUAAGUCGUAACAAGGUAGCCGUACCGGAAGGUGCGGCUGGAUCACCU